AUUGAACGCUGGCGACAGGCCUAACACAUGCAAGUCGAGCGCGAAAGUCUUCGGAUGAGUAAAGCGGCGAACGGGUGAGUAAUGCAUGGGAAUCUGCCUGGUAGUGGGGGACAACGUCUCGAAAGGGACGCUAAUACCGCAUACGCCCUACGGGGGAAAGGGGGGGAUCUUCGGACCUCUCGCUAUCAGAUGAGCCCAUGUCAGAUUAGCUAGUUGGUGAGGUAAAGGCUCACCAAGGCGACGAUCUGUAACUGGUCUGAGAGGAUGAUCAGUCACACUGGAACUGAGACACGGUCCAGACUCCUACGGGAGGCAGCAGUGGGGAAUAUUGGACAAUGGGGGCAACCCUGAUCCAGCCAUGCCGCGUGUGUGAAGAAGGCCCUAGGGUUGUAAAGCACUUUCAUGGGGAGAAGGUUAUUCACCUAAUACGUGAG
Molecule: ribosomal RNA, 434 nt
Filed under: uncultured bacterium
Lineage: Bacteria
Description: bacterial SSU rRNA
Rfam family: Bacterial small subunit ribosomal RNA
Source: RNAcentral